This 659-nucleotide ribosomal RNA is filed under the name Microbacterium flavum. RNAcentral's name for it is "bacterial SSU rRNA". It matches the Rfam family "Bacterial small subunit ribosomal RNA", at positions 82 to 755 of the family's 1533-position model. Lineage: Bacteria; Bacillati; Actinomycetota; Actinomycetes; Micrococcales; Microbacteriaceae. The record is from RNAcentral.
GCUCUGUGGAUCAGUGGCGAACGGGUGAGUAACACGUGAGCAAUCUGCCCCUGACUCUGGGAUAAGCGCUGGAAACGGCGUCUAAUACCGGAUACGAGCUGCGAAGGCAUCUUCAGCAGUUGGAAAGAAUUUCGGUCAGGGAUGAGCUCGCGGCCUAUCAGCUUGUUGGUGAGGUAAUGGCUCACCAAGGCGUCGACGGGUAGCCGGCCUGAGAGGGUGACCGGCCACACUGGGACUGAGACACGGCCCAGACUCCUACGGGAGGCAGCAGUGGGGAAUAUUGCACAAUGGGCGGAAGCCUGAUGCAGCAACGCCGCGUGAGGGAUGACGGCCUUCGGGUUGUAAACCUCUUUUAGCAGGGAAGAAGCGAAAGUGACGGUACCUGCAGAAAAAGCGCCGGCUAACUACGUGCCAGCAGCCGCGGUAAUACGUAGGGCGCAAGCGUUAUCCGGAAUUAUUGGGCGUAAAGAGCUCGUAGGCGGUCUGUCGCGUCUGCUGUGAAAUCCCGAGGCUCAACCUCGGGUCUGCAGUGGGUACGGGCAGACUAGAGUGCGGUAGGGGAGAUUGGAAUUCCUGGUGUAGCGGUGGAAUGCGCAGAUAUCAGGAGGAACACCGAUGGCGAAGGCAGAUCUCUGGGCCGUAACUGACGCUGAGGAGCG